AGUCGGAAUCGCUAGUAAUCGCGGAUCAGCAUGCCGCGGUGAAUACGUUCCCGGGCCUUGUACACACCGCCCGUCACACCAUGAGAGUCGGGAACACCCGAAGUCCGUAGCCUAACAGCAAUGAGGGCGCGGCCGAAGGUGGGUUCGAUAAUUGGGGUGAAGUCGUAACAAGGUAAC
This 177-nucleotide ribosomal RNA is filed under the name uncultured bacterium. Its description in RNAcentral is "partial 16S ribosomal RNA". It matches the Rfam family "Bacterial small subunit ribosomal RNA", at positions 1324 to 1500 of the family's 1533-position model. The record is from RNAcentral.